Molecule: ribosomal RNA, 484 nt
Filed under: uncultured bacterium
Lineage: Bacteria
Description: partial 16S ribosomal RNA
Rfam family: Bacterial small subunit ribosomal RNA
Source: RNAcentral
AUUGAACGCUGGCGGCAGGCCUAACACAUGCGAGUCGAGCGGGUGAAGGUAGCUUGCGUCUGGAUUCAGCGGCGGACGGGUGAGUAAUGCCUAGGGAGCUGCGUGGUAGUGGUGGAUAACGUCGCUAAACGGGCGCUAGUAGCGCAGCAGUCGUGGAGAAGAGCGCGGGGGGGGGUCGGAGUCCAAGCUGUCAGAUGGUGCGGGGACGGAUUAGCGAGUUGGUGGGGGGAAGGCCGACCAAGGGGACGAUCAGUAACUGAUCUGAGAGGAUGAGCAGUAACACUGGAACUGAGACACGGUCCAGACUCCUACGGGGGGCAGCAGUGGGGACCAUUGGACAAUGGGCGAAAGCCUGAUCCAGCCAUGCCGCGUGUGUGAAGAAGGUCUUCGGAUUGUAAAGUACUUUAAGUUGGGAGGAAGGGCAGUAAGUUAAUACCUUGAUGUUUUGACGUUACCAACAGAAUAAGCACCGGCUAACUCCGUG